AGGAAGACUGAGCAGGCACACAGGAUCCUUCACAUCCCUCUGAAGUGAGCAGUUGGCACAUGGGGACAGUACUUGCUGUACUCACAGGUAGUAGUUGGGACAGCAGUACCUGUCUCACAUUUAACUAUGAACUCUUUGAAGAUAAAAAAAAAAAAAAAAAUGGUAUCAUUCACCUUCAUGGCACCUUUAUUCCUAGAAAAAAAAAGCUCUGCCUAAAAGAAAGCAUUAAGAAUUGGAACAAGUGGGCUG
Molecule: long non-coding RNA, 249 nt
Organism: Jaculus jaculus (lesser Egyptian jerboa)
Lineage: Eukaryota; Metazoa; Chordata; Mammalia; Rodentia; Dipodidae
Exons: 3
Source: RefSeq, a predicted model, not a curated record